Long non-coding RNA from Oryza sativa Japonica Group (Japanese rice), 1513 nucleotides. RefSeq lists it as uncharacterized. NCBI's taxonomy places the organism in Eukaryota, Viridiplantae, Streptophyta, Magnoliopsida, Poales, Poaceae. The record is from RefSeq and is a predicted model, not a curated record.
GUCGGCGCUCGAAAAACAAUUUUUACAAGUGGUCCGCCUACAAAAAUUAUAUUUUUACAGGCGAAAAAAUACGUGGUCCGCCUAGAAAAAUCGUUCUAUAAAAUCUUCUUCCUUAUCUACUCUUACAGCCCCCAUCCUUAUCUUCUCAUCCACCCUCCCCCCACCACUCAUUUCCCCCUCUCCUCUCUCCCUAUCCUCUAUCUCCCUCGCGCGCAGCAGAGGUGAACGGCCGACGACAGCUCCGACGAGCGGCGGCGGCAGGGCAGGACAGCAGCGGCGACGGCUCCGACGAGCGGCGGUGGCUCCGCUCCUCGCCUCCUCGAGCGCCGACGAAUGACGACGACGCCUCCUUGAGCGGCAGCGGCUCCGACGAACGACGACGGCGCCGGCGGCUCCCCCCUCCUCGCCUCCUCGGGCGCCGGAUCCGCCGCCGGCUCCCCUCCUCGCCUCCUCGGGCGCCGGACGCCGACGAACGACGACGACGCCUCCUUGAGUGGCGGCGGCUCCGACGAACGACGACGGCGGCGGCUCCCCCCUCCUCGCCUCCUCGGGCGCCGAAUCCGCCGCCGGCUCUCCUCGCCGCUGGCCGGUCUCGGGGAGGGGAGGGGAGUGGAGGGGAGGGAAGGCGGCGACGAGGAGAGGAGACGCGACGAUGACGGCGCCGACGACGACGACGACGAUGGCGACGACGCGACGACGACGACGACGACGACGACGGCGACGACGCGAGUACGACGACGACUGCUGCGAUGACGGCGCUGACGCGACGACGACGACGGCGCCACCUAUGGAGGCCGGCGGAUGGACGACAACGGCGUUUUUUUUAAGUUUACAUGUUGAUUGAUGUUGAUUGAUGUUAGCUUGCAAGUUGAUGAUGUUGAUUUAUGAUUUGAAACCUAGGAUGGGUGGGGUGGGCUGGCGGGAAAUUUUUUUGUUGCGCGGUGAAUGUAGCGCCUGCAAAGAAUGAACUGCUGCAUGCGAAAAUUAUUUUUGCAGGCGGUGCUUUGGUCCAUCUAAAAAAAUUAAGGAUUUUUACAGUCGUUUAGGUACCUGCGGAAGGUUUGUCCGCCUACGAAAACGUGUUUUGACCGCCUGGAAAAACAUUUCUUCUAGUAGUGCGGUGAGUUCUUACUCGUGGUGAAUAAGAUCAGAGCUGCGAAUGCGAAGGUUGUCCAUGGCAGUACAGAAUGUAAUAACUCUCUGGAGGUGAAGAUGGCAACUCGGACUUUAAACUUGGAGAAGAUGCUGAUGAUGGUGUAAAUUAUGGAACUGGAAGGCUGUAAGGAUCUUUUUGUUGCAGGGGCGCUGAAGGAUCAAUUAUGCAUCUGCACUUCACUUCUUUCACUAUGCCUAAAAUAUUUAUUAAGCAUAGACUGUAGAAGCUAGGACUGUUUCGACUGAAAAGAAAAAGUGACAUUUGAUGUUCAUUGGAGAUUACAGUAAUUACUCCGCUGAGUAUAUUUUGUUUGUACGAUAAGAUAUUAUCAAAUUCCGUUGCUAUGUUUGAUGCUUC